CGCCUCUUGACCAAAUAUAAGAGGUAUAGCCUGCCCAGUGACUCUGUUCAACGGCCGCGGUAUCCUAACCGUGCGAAGGUAGCGUAAUCACUUGUUCUUUAAAUGAGGACUAGUAUGAAUGGCACCACGAGGGUUAUACUGUCUCCUUUUUCUAAUCAGUUAAACUAAUCUCCCCGUGAAGAAGCGGGAAUGAAAUUAUAAGACGAGAAGACCCUAUGGAGCUUUAAACUAAAUUACACCUGCUUAUAAACACUUAUCUUUCAGAACACUAAUAUUUAUACUAGCAUCAUGAUUUUUAGUUUUAGGUUGGGGUGACCGCGGAGCAAAAUAAAACCUCCAUAUUGAACGGGAUAAUUUUCCUGAGCCCUGAGCCACAACUCUACGCACCAAUAAAUUGACAUUAAUUGACCCAAUAUUUUGAUCAACGAACCAAGUUACCCUAGGGAUAACAGCGCAAUCCACUUUAAGAGCCCCUAUCGACAAGUGGGUUUACGACCUCGAUGUUGGAUCAGGGUAUCCCAGUGGUGCAGCCGCUACUAAAGGUUCGUUUGUUCAACGAUUAAAACCCU
This 569-nucleotide ribosomal RNA is filed under the name Acris crepitans (northern cricket frog). Its description in RNAcentral is "partial 16S ribosomal RNA". It matches the Rfam family "Bacterial large subunit ribosomal RNA", at positions 1829 to 2597 of the family's 2925-position model. The record is from RNAcentral. Lineage: Eukaryota; Metazoa; Chordata; Amphibia; Anura; Hylidae.